AUCAUAGCCAGACACAUCAUAAUUAAAUUUCUAAGGCCAGAGCCAAAGAGAAAAUCUAAAUAGCAGCCAGAGAGAAAAGGAUGCAUCAUGUGCAGAAGAACAAAGGAUUGCAGCUUGCUUCUAGUCACAAACCAGGCAGACUCAAGACAAUAAGAGGUCAUCUUUAAAGCGCUGAAACAAAACAAAACAAAACUCAAACCACCAAGCUAGAAUUCUAUUCCCCAUGAAGACUUUUUCAAAGAUGAAGACAAAACACAAGCAUUUUCAGGUCAACAAAAGGUAACAGAGUGUCACUAUAAGAAGCAAAAGGAGUUCCUUCACAGAAGGAAAGCGAUCCAGAUGGAAACUUUACCCACAGAAAGAGAUGAAGAAUGCUCCAAAUGGAAGACUUCUGUUUCUCUACCACCUCUUCGCAAGUCGGGAGUGAAAAAUAGAACUCAUACAGAUACGAAUUGCUGAGGUGAAUGAGCGGUACUUGUGUACGCCUAUAAGAAACGCAGGGGACAGCGGUAAACUGAGGAACGCAUCUGGCAUUUAAAAGGAGGAUCCAUUACGCAACUUGAGUUGAUCGUUGUUGGGAUGGAAUUGAGCGGACACUUCCUUUCACGUUAGCAACUACUUUAACUUAACCAAAAUAAAAAAGUCCUAGCACAUACGUA
Molecule: long non-coding RNA, 659 nt
Organism: Chinchilla lanigera (long-tailed chinchilla)
Lineage: Eukaryota; Metazoa; Chordata; Mammalia; Rodentia; Chinchillidae
Exons: 2
Source: RefSeq, a predicted model, not a curated record